AAUCAACGCUGGCGGCGUGCCUCAGACAUGCAAGUCGAACGAUUAAAGCUCUCUUCGGAGAGUGUAUAGAGUGGCGCACGGGUGAGUAACACGUAAGUAAUCUACCUUUGAGUGGGGAAUAACCCGGGGAAACCCGAGCUAAUACCGCAUAAUGCAGCGGCACCGCAAGGUGACAGUUGUUAAAGGAGCAAUCCGCUUAAAGAGGAGCUUGCGGCAGAUUAGCUAGNGGUAAGGUAAUGGCUUACCAAGGCUUCGAUCUGUAUCCGGCCUGAGAGGGCGGUCGGACACACUGACACUGAAUAACGGGUCAGACUCCUACGGGAGGCAGCAGUCGGGAAUUUUGGGCAAUGGGCGAAAGCCUGACCCAGCAACGCCGCGUGAAGGAUGAAGUAUUUCGGUAUGUAAACUUCG
Molecule: ribosomal RNA, 411 nt
Filed under: uncultured bacterium
Lineage: Bacteria
Description: bacterial SSU rRNA
Rfam family: Bacterial small subunit ribosomal RNA
Source: RNAcentral